RNAcentral lists this ribosomal RNA (428 nucleotides) under uncultured bacterium. RNAcentral's name for it is "bacterial SSU rRNA". It matches the Rfam family "Bacterial small subunit ribosomal RNA", at positions 356 to 776 of the family's 1533-position model. The record is from RNAcentral.
AGGGAAUAUUGGACAAUGGGGGCAACCCUGAUCCAGGCAUGCCGCGUGUGUGAAGAAGGCCUUAGGGUUGUAAAGCACUUUAAGUGAGGAAGAAAAGAUUUAAAUUAAUACUUUAAGUCCCUGACAUUACUCACAGAAUAAGGACCGGCUAACUCCGUGCCAGCAGCCGCGGUAAUACGGAGGGUCCAAGCGUUAAUCGGAAUUACUGGGCGUAAAGCGCGCGUAGAUGGUUUAUUCAGUUGGGUGUGAAAUCCCUGGGCUCAACCUAGGAACUGCAUUCAAAACUUAUAAACUAGAGUACGAAAGAGGAGAGUAGAAUUCAUGGUGUAGCGGUGAAAUGCGUAGAGAUCAUGAGGAAUACCAGUGGCGAAGGCGACUCUCUGGUUCGAGACUGACAUUGAGGUGCGAAAGCGUGGGUAGCAAACAGG